UGUGGGAGCGGGCUUGCUCGCGAAAGCGGUCUUCCAGUCAACUUUGCAUCGACUGACAGUACGCAUUCGCGAGCAAGCCCGCUCCCACA
RNAcentral lists this unclassified non-coding RNA (89 nucleotides) under Pseudomonas kilonensis. The record is from RNAcentral. Lineage: Bacteria; Pseudomonadati; Pseudomonadota; Gammaproteobacteria; Pseudomonadales; Pseudomonadaceae.